Molecule: transfer RNA, 66 nt
Filed under: Platisus obscurus
Lineage: Eukaryota; Metazoa; Arthropoda; Insecta; Coleoptera; Cucujidae
Description: tRNA-Ile
Source: RNAcentral
AAUGAAAUGCCUGAUAAAAGGAUUAUUUUGAUAGAAUAAAUCAUGUAUUGAACUAUACUUUCAUUA